UGUUUUGGGUUGAGCGCGUCUACACAGGGGAGAGAGAAUAUUUUGUUGAUAAAUAUGCUAUGUUGCCAGUGAUUACUUAAUUUUAACAAAAGAAAAAAUUUUAUAAUAAAGUAUUGUAAUUAAUUAUCAUAAAUUGAAGCAUUAAUAUUGUAACGAAAUUCAGAAACACACUCCUACACUUAUUCCAGGAAUACUCUUUUAUGUCAGGAACACACCUUUACUGACAACGUCAAAAAUCCAACCUGACUCGCGUUGACUGUCGUUUAAUCGUUUCUAAGAUAAGCAACAAAACUAAUUAAACUGAUUAAAAUGUCACGAUCUCUUUUAAAGAUCCACUGGAACAAUUUGGACAGUCCAAGGAAGAAAGUAUACAAAUUCCAAAAAAAAUAAAAAAACAGAAAUUUGCAAUAAUAUAACCCAAUUAACCUACAUUUAACUCAAACACUACUUCAAAACUAAACACUGUAGAUGAAAAUAUUAAACUAAACAACCUGGGAAAGCUUCUGAACUUUCUGCGCAGAAGCCAAGUAUUCAUGUACCAUGGAUUAUUAUAAUAAGAUAAACCGCAAAUAACAGGACUAUUUACAUAACUGACUCAAACUAAUAAAUUGUGAAAGUAACAACAAAUAUAACUAUAAUAGAAUUAGAACGGACUUGCCAGUAUUAUUCCUCGUUGGGUCGUAUACAUCUCGAGGCAAUGUAUGUAUGUAAAUCAAUGGUGAGGUCUUGAAGUGCUAUCGGCUGACGGUUGAGGUGUUGGUAGCAGCCUUCUGCCCCAGGUUAAUUAUAGCUUAGCCUUAGCAAACGACUAAGAAGAACAGGAAGGAACCAGCAGAAACUAAGGAAAUUACGCAGAACUUAGUAGACAUUUAGAAGACUUGUAGAGAUUAUGAACCGAUCAUGAAGAAAACCCAAAAUAAGAAACAAAGGUGUAAGAAUUAACAAAGGAACCAACGGCAAAUGAAUAACUAACCCCUAAAGUUUAGUUAAAAAUUAGUUUUCUAACUAAAGUGUAAUUUUGCGGCAAAAUAUCAGCAUGUAUAAUGCAUAACAUAAUAGGCCAGCAAUAAAUGAAUGAAUAAUGAAAAACGACUAUCAGGUCCUCCAGUUAAAUAGCACAAGAUAGGUCUUUGGAAAAAUUUACGGCGAGGAAGACUUUGGUUGACCAAUGUUGUCAAUACAAAUAUUGAAUUCGAAUUGGAAAAAUCGCAAAAAUGAUCGAAUCAAAUCGUAAUCCGGGAAACACAAGUAUAGACAUGCCUUGAUGAAAAACGCAGAACCCAACAUUAAUUCCAUAAUAUCAGUACCGAAUUAUAUUUUAAUAAUUAGUAGCAAUACCCCGGUAUCCAAGCAUAGAUCAAGAUUGACCUUCGUAAAACAAAAUUUGCGAGUGUCUAACGUCCAUUAAGUGGCUAUUACGAAAAAUGAACCUGUUAAUCGUGUUUAUUUUUAUAACUUAGACUAAUAUAUCUAAGCACAAUUGUAAUAUGAUUAUUGUAAAUAAAAGAUAGUUCAAUAGA
This 1520-nucleotide unclassified non-coding RNA is filed under the name Anthonomus grandis grandis. RNAcentral describes it as "uncharacterized LOC126742663". Lineage: Eukaryota; Metazoa; Arthropoda; Insecta; Coleoptera; Curculionidae. The record is from RNAcentral.